CCGUGGGCUUACACGCAAGCCGCGGGGACAGUGCCCAGCUCUCCUGGGAUUCCGGACCUCCCAAAGCGAAGCCGAUCGAUCAGGUCUAGGAGGGACUGCAGCCAGGGAGGGCGGAGCCUGCCUGAGCCCCUCGCGGGUGUCAGGGCCAGGAUCCGCUCCGGCCACAGCCCCCAUACCGCUGGCCGGUGUUUGCAGAGCAGAGACCCCUGGCUAAGGUGGAGCCUCCCCUGUGCAGGCUCCAGUGGUGGGGGGGAGGUGAUUAAGGAGGCAGAGUCUGGCUGUAGAGGAAUAUGAGUUGGCUGUGUAGUCAGGGGCUGGGCAGGAUUCUCUGCAGAAGGGACAAGAGCAGAGAGAGGGGCUGGGGACACUCGUCGGUGAGGGGUUUCUGGGGGUAGGUCACAGGAGGCAGCGAAAGCCAUCCUCCCCUCAGAGCCCUGGCUCAGCCCGUGAGCCCCACCGGCCCCACCGCCACUCGCCCACGCCUUGUGUUUGCUGCUGACUGCGCGGGCCUGGGCCAGGUGCUGCAUGUGCAGGCGGACGUGAGUGCCCAAGGCCUUGGCUGCCCUGGAGGACGCAGGCAUCCCCGGGGCAACUGGACCACGCAGGGCCGCUGGGGAAGUGCCUCGCUGAAGCCGGACCCAGCGCAGGCGAAAGGGCCUGCCUGGGUUCGACACCUGGCUCCAGCUUCCUGCUCAUGCAGACCCCGGGAGGCAGCGGCGACAGCACAAGUAACUGAGUCCCUGAGUCCACGCCAGCGGCCUGCAUGAAGCUGCCUGCUGAGGCCCAGCCCGGUUCCAGCUCCUGGGACGGGGGAGUGAAGUAGCGGGUAGGAGCUCACCCUCACGCUCUUCCUGCCUCUUAAAGCAAGAAAAGGCAAAGCAAAACUAACCAACCAAGUGGCUGUCGUGGGUAUCCACGGACAGAGGAUGGUGGUGCCACUCGGGGGGUGCCUGGGAGCCGGCGGUAGAUGAAGUUGACAACUGCAGUCAGGUAUCGCUUAUCUAUGGGGAAGCUGGAGAAGUGUGUCACUGUGCGGACUUCACAGGGGCAGCGUCCACACGGCUACAAGGUGUAGGUCAGUCACCCCGUGUGGCCUCUGGAUGCCACCAAGAGAUGUGGUAGGGACGGGCACCGUGGCACAGCAGUUAGGUGACUACCUGGGACGCCCACGUUCUAUAAUCAGAGUCCCCUCUGCCGGAAGCCUUGAGCUUCCUCCAGGUCUCCCACGUGGGCGCAGGGGCCCAAGUGCUUGGGCAUCUUCCCCUGCUUUCCCAGGCACAUUAGCAGGGGGCUGGAUCGGAAGUGGAGCAGCCAGGACUUGAACCUUUGUUAGUAGAAGGAGGACACCCGAAAAUAGCAAUAACAGGCAUAAGACACUAAAUGCGAACCCCACCCCCGGCUGUUCAGCAUCAAGAUCGAUUUUCCUGCCGUGUGCAACAAGUGUGGACGCCUGGGCGCCCCAGGCUUGUUCCUGCAGCGUCACCAUGGAGACGCUGCGCGAUGACAACACAGCAGCCACCGUGCUGCGAUGUCACGAGACAGCUGUGACCCUGGGACAGCUCCAGCGUCACCGUGGUGGUUCUCCAGCUCCGUCCUGGUCACGCGGCGUCACUGCUGUGUCAGCUUGGUCUCUCCUUGGCUGGCCGGCCCUGAUGCUGUGCCUAGGAUGCCCCAGACAAAAACCUAACUCAGACGGGACCGUGCACCUAGAUGUAACCCCCCAAGCACUAAAAUUCCUAAAAGCAACACUGGAGAAAAUCCUAAUCUUGAGUUUGACAAAUGUUUAUUAAAUGUGACAUGGAAAGCAUAAACAAAAAAGAAUCAGUAAACCGAACCUCAAAACAAAACAUUUGGGGGGUGGAUGUUUGGCCUAACAGUUAAGACAGCAGUGGGUACACCCACUUCCCAUUUCAGAGGGCCUCGUUUCUUUUCUUUUUUUUUUUUAAGAUUUAUUUAUUUAUUUGAAAGUCAGAGUUACACAGAAGGAGAAGAGGCAUAGAGAGCAAGAGGAAGAGCAAGAGAGAGAGAGGUCUUCCAUCCGCUGGUUCACUCCCCAAAUGGGUGUAACAUUUGAGGCUGGGCCAGGCCAACGCCAGGAGUCAGGAGCUCCAUCCGGGUCUCCCGCGUGGGUGCAGGGGUCUGAACACUUGGGCCAUCUUCUGCUGCCUUCUCAGGUGCAUGAGCAGGGAGCUGGAUCAGAAGCAGAGCAGCCAGGACUUGAACCCAGUGCUCCAACAUGGGAUAUCAGUGUGGCAGGCAGUGGCUUAACUCACUGCACCACAAUGCUGGUCCCCCAGAUACAUUUUAAACAUAAUGGGGCUGGCAUGGUGGUGUAGCCGGGGAAACUGUUGCCUGCGAUGCCAGCAUCCCAUAUGGGUGCCGACUCAGUCCCGGCUGCUCCAUUUCCAAUCCAGCUCCCUGCUAAUGUGCCUGGGAAAAGCAGCAGAGGACGGCCCAAGUGCUAGGGUCCCUGCCACCCAUGUGGGAGAAGUGGAAGAAGCUCCUGGCUCGACUUCCGCCUGGCCCAGCGCUGGCCGUUGCAGCCAUUUGGAGAGUGAACCAGAGGACUGGAAAACCUCUCUGCCUCUCUGUAACUCUGACUUUCAAAAUAAAUAAAUCUUGGCCGGCGCCACAGCUCACUAGGCUAAUCUUCCUGUGGUGCCGGCACUCCGGGUUCUAGUCUUGGUUGGGGCGCCGGAUUCUGUCCCUGUCGCUCCUAUUCCAGUCCAGCUCUCUGCUGUGGCCCGGGAGUGCAGUGGAGGAUGGCCCAGGUGCUUGGGCCCUGCACCCGCAUGGGAGACCAGGAGAAGCACCUGGCUCCUGGCUUCGGAUAGGCGCAGCACUGGCCAUAGAGGCUAUUUGGGGGGUGAACCAACGGAAGGAAGACCUCUCUCUGUCUUUCUCUCUCACUGUCUAACUCUGCCUGUUUAAAAAAAAAUGAAUAAAUCUUUAAAAAAAUGUUUUAAAGUCAAUUUUGUUUGUCAAAACAUGAUUAAAUAGAAAUGAAAAACAGGCCAUAGGCCAGGAGGAGAUAUUUGAAGAAACUAUUUCUGAUGUAGGGCUUUGUGCUUAGAACUUCUACAAAGAACUGUUAGGCCUUUAAAAAAAAUCCAAUAAAGCAAUAAAGUGGGUCAAACAUUAGAACACACUUCAUCCCACGAGAUACAUGGAUUGCACACAAGCACAUGAAAAAAUGCUCGGCACACUACUCAUUGGGGAAAUACAGAUCAAAACUCCUGCUAGAGAGACUAACACAUCAAAAAUUGGCCACACGAAGCGUCAGGGAUGUGGAGGCCUGGAGCGCUCCUACACUGGGGUGUGUGUGUGUGUGUGUGUGUGUGAUGAAGCCACCACUUUGGAUACGGGUCAGAAGUUUAAAAUUCAGCAAUAAAAAGAAAUGAAAAGACACGGCGCAACCUUCGAUGCUACUGCGUGAAAAGCUACGUAGUGUGUGAUUCCAGAGCCGUGGUAUUCUGAAGAGGCCCAGUGGGGACCAGGGUGAGAGGAGGAGGGGAGCAGGCGGCGCUGGAGGCGUUUUUAGGCAGUGGGCUCGCCCUGUGUGCUGCUGCCCACCGGGCACCUUGCAUUUGUCGAAAUGCGCAGGCUUCGGUUAGUAACAGUGUAUCAGUGUGGGUAACAUCGCUGCAGGAUUGGUGCUGGCUUGUAACCAGGAUACCAAACCGGUGCAAGAGCUGCAUAUGACGACCCAUAAACCUACAACUGCUCUAAAAAAGCGUAUUUUAGAAAAAAGAAUGAAACAGACACAUGCGAGUGGGAAGCGCCAGUGCAGCCUUGGUUCUCCGGUGCCCGGGAACGCCCUGCAGUUCCGACACCUGCCUGAAGGCGGCGGCAGAUCCCACAAGUUGAGUGCUCAGCCUCCGAGCCGGCCCCCACUCCCCGAACUCCCCGAACAGCCAGCCGUGUCGCACAGAGGGAACAGGGCUGCAGGUGAGGGACAGGGGUGCGGAAGGGGCGUGGAGCCUCCAGGCCCUCCCCCAGCGGGUCACCCUGCAGGAGCCCCGGUCCUGUCCUCUGGGGGUUGGAUGGAGUGCUCAUCGCAGAGGGGAAGCUAGCUCCGCCGGAUGCUGGGAAGUGAAUGGGGAAGCCCGGCGGGGCCCGCGCACCCUCCCGGCCCUGUCUGCGCAGGAGCCCUCUGCCGCGAGGAAGGGCUUAGGCCCUGCUCUCCUAAGGCAGGUCGGAGAAAUUCUAGAUUCUGAGGCUGGCCUUGGGUGGGGGUGGGGAGCUGUGGAUCAGGAAGCAGGAACAAGAUCAAGAGGCAGGCGCCCAGAGAUGCCCGCUGCUGCAGGACCCAUCCUUCCGGUGCUAAGCAGUCACUGAACGGCCGGCGCCGCGGCUCACUGGGCUAAUCCUCCGCCUGCGGCGCCGGCACACCGGGUUCUAGUGCCAGUCGGUCGGGGCGCCGGAUUCUGUCCCGGUUGCUCCUCUUCCAGGCCAGCUCUCUGCUGUGGCCAGGGAGUGCAGUGGAGGAUGGCCCAAGUGCUUGGGCCCUGCACCCCAUGGGAGACCAGGAGGAGCACCUGGCUCCUGCCAUCGGAUCAGUGCAGUGUGCAGGCUGCAGCGCACCGGCCGCGGCAGCCAUUGGAGGGUGAACCAACGGCAAAGGAAGACCUUUCUCUCUGUCUCUCUCUCUCACUGUCCACUCUGCCUGUCAAAAAAAUUAAAUUAAAAAAAAAAAAAAAAAAAAAAAAAAAAAAAAACAGUUACUGAAAACAAGCGAAGGCAUGGAAGGACUGGUGUGGAGGCGUUCACGGCCUGGUUCCAAACUGGAAAUGACCAAUGGGCAUCCGCGGGCGAUGGGUGGACCAAUGGGCGGAUACGCAACAAAACUCCCUGGCAGGUAGCAGGCAACCCGGCAUUACACAGCACCCCAGGGGCAUCCUGAGUUCUACAGAGCACAAGACAGAUGUGAGUGCACUCCUUGGAACAUUCUGGAAAGUGCACACUAAUCUAGCAUGCACCCAGGUCAGCAGGUGCCUGGGGGGUCCUGGCAGGCGGGAGAGAGUGGGAGGGAGAAGUUGGGGGUGAGGAGCGUGCAUGUGGCCUAGUGGUUAAGACAGCUGCAUCGGGGGCUGGGGUCGUGGUGUAAUGGGUUAAGUCGCCUCCUGCAGCUCCAGCAUCCCGUAUGGGCGCUGGUUCGAGACCCAGCCCUGUCUCAACCCCAGCUGUUGCGGUAUCUCAGGACUGCUCUCUCUUUUGUA
Oryctolagus cuniculus (rabbit) is the source of this 5219-nucleotide non-coding RNA. The record is from RefSeq and is a predicted model, not a curated record. Lineage: Eukaryota; Metazoa; Chordata; Mammalia; Lagomorpha; Leporidae.